UUGCCUCAUGAUGGCCGCCCCACCAGUCGGCAUCUCAAAGACUUGUUCUUUGGGUGAAUCCCAUGUGAUGACGUAGAAUUCUUCGACUUGAGCCUUUCUAAGCAGUCCUCCAGUGCUUCCUCCGAAGAUGGGUGAUGGGGUGUUGGGGUCCAAUUCCGGAGGGGUGAAACCGACCGGAGCUUCCUUUGUGGCAGCAGCAGAUGAUGCUUCCUCAUCAGCAGCUGCAGCUCUAAUGGUUCUUUGAGCCAUGGAGAAGUUGAGGGACUUGGAAGAGGUAGCAAAGGAAAAUGAUGAGGCUGGUUUCCAUGGGGCCAAAGAUUUUGGGGUGGUGAUUGUGGGGGUGAAGAGACCUGCUUGAGUUGCCAUGGCCAUGUAGAUGAUGGGUGUUAGAGCUGCAG
Molecule: long non-coding RNA, 398 nt
Filed under: Gossypium raimondii (Peruvian cotton)
Lineage: Eukaryota; Viridiplantae; Streptophyta; Magnoliopsida; Malvales; Malvaceae
Description: long non-coding RNA (GRAI_LNC006048)
Source: RNAcentral